Molecule: long non-coding RNA, 1362 nt
Organism: Cydia pomonella (codling moth)
Lineage: Eukaryota; Metazoa; Arthropoda; Insecta; Lepidoptera; Tortricidae
Exons: 2
Source: RefSeq, a predicted model, not a curated record
UUUGCCGACCCUGUACUAAUAAAUUCACGUUUCGAUAUUCAGCGCUUUGGAUAAUACGUUUUUAUACAAAAAAUUGCAAUAACAGCGAUUCUUCGUCUUCAUUUGUUAGUGCGAGCUGAUAAAAGUUCAGAGGGUAAAUUUAUUGUGGAUAGUGAUAGGAUUACCAAUGAGUUUCGUACAUUUACAUAUGCGGGUUGGCUAAGUCAAUAAUUUCAGCGUACUUACUCACAUACAUUUUACAUAAGUUAUACAACUUGGUAGUUAGAAUAAUAUUAGACUUUAAUAAAUAAUGUUAGCAUAUUAAAAUACCCUAAACUGCAAUCAAACAACGAUGCAAUUACGUUGAAACGUAAACAAAAUCUGAUUAUACCUAAUAAAGAUUUAAUAGAACUGGUUAAAUCCUUGAUGCCUAUCGUUUUUGGUUUGUAUCGUGUUUCACUGGUCGUUUUACCCGGGGACCCGAAAUAUUUCAAUUUAAUUUGCUUCUGAUCCACUUGAACGAAUUAUUCCGUCUGGCUUGUAAUUGAAAGUCUUUCUCCACAGGGAGCAUAAUAUUUUGCAGCUCACCGCAUUUGGCCUUGAAUAAAUUACGUAUCUUAAAUUAUGAUAGCAGUCAAAUUUUACAUUCAAAAUUCAAAGCGUGAUGUAAUUCUGUAUUAUUGGUAAGUACAGUCAGCUGCGGAGAUAGUUGACCCCCUGCAUAGACUGUUUGUAUGCAGGGGGUCAACUAUUUCUGCAACUAACUGUACUUCACGCUAUGUGUUUUUAGAUUUUUUUUGUAAAGUUUUGACUGGCUUUUAUUGGCAGUCAUUUGUCACAAGUGAUUUAAUCCCUAUUCAUUUGGUUGACACUGAGCAUGUACCUAAUGUACUCGUAUAAUGUUCGCGUGUACAAUGUACUAGUAAAUGUUGAUAUGAUACUGGUUAUAUGAUCUUUAUUGUUACAAUGAGGGGCUCCCUCAACCUAUGACUGUGACUGUACUUAAAAGCCAAUCACUGGAUAGUUUGUCUUGUUAUUUCUAAGUCACACCAUAAAUCUGCUGGCAGGUGACGCUUCAGGCAUACUUAAUGCUGACUGUACAAUUAGGUUACUUCUUGUAAACUAGAUGGUAAAAAUUGAUGGUUAAUGUCAAAGCUUGUGUGAUGGAACGGAACCCUUGGCCCCAAAUCCGACCCGCACUCGGCCGGUUUUCUGGAUAUCAUUGUCACGGUGUUAUACUACGUACUAAAAGUAAAUAUUUCAAAACUAAUGUAAAAUACUAAUAUAUAUGAUUUAUCUUAUACUUUUAUACGAGCUAUAUUUGCAUAAAUGUAAUUUAAAUAUUGAACGAAUUUUCCAAGUAAAGCUCAUCUAUUAUACCUA